AACAUAAGAACGAAGACUAAGUACGCACUUCGUGUGGCAACGCCUUCGUGACCAACAUCCUGUUGG
Molecule: small RNA, 66 nt
Organism: Paenisporosarcina sp. HGH0030
Lineage: Bacteria; Bacillati; Bacillota; Bacilli; Caryophanales; Caryophanaceae
Rfam family: Bacillaceae-1 RNA
Source: Rfam